Molecule: non-coding RNA, 649 nt
Organism: Prunus avium (sweet cherry)
Lineage: Eukaryota; Viridiplantae; Streptophyta; Magnoliopsida; Rosales; Rosaceae
Source: RefSeq, a predicted model, not a curated record
UCGCUGGGUUAUGGUUUAGGUGGCGCUGGUGGGUUGGGUGGAGCUGGUGGUGGACUUGGUGGUGCUGCGUCAGGUGGUGGAGCUCCCGGUGGCGGUGUGGGUACUGGGUCGUCUUUGUAUGGAUUGGCGCCAAGUUCAGCUGGGUUGCCCUCUAGUAGGUUCCCAGAGAGCGGGCACUACGGCUUGUCGUCCUAUCAGAAUCAGCACCACCAGCAAGCUGGAACAUCACCCAUGCCUAGGGUUCCGCCAGGGGGGAUGUACCCGAAUGUGCCACCUUAUUACUGAGGUGUAUGACCGCUUGUUGGGCGCUGAUGCUUUAUCUGGUUCUGGUGAUUGCGUGAUUGCAGAUAUAUGCUCUGGUUUGAUGAUUGUAUUAGCUGUGCUUUUAUCGCCUCUUCCUCACAUCAUCUGAACCUUUUAAGGUGUAGGUUGUUUCUGAGUUGUGGUAGCCAAAGUGACUAAAUUAGAUUAGUCUUUUGUAUUCUGUCAGGUACUGAUGUGUUAUGUGAGUUAUGUUUUUUUCAAUAUAAAGUAUAGUUUUGUUUUUAUAAUUGCAGAUUUACAUUUUCUUUUACAUCGAGAAAAGAUGUAUGGCCGUUGUUUCUCUGACAUGUUUAUUUGAUUAUUGGUGUGACUUUGUUUUUAUGGA